This 505-nucleotide ribosomal RNA is filed under the name uncultured archaeon. Its description in RNAcentral is "bacterial SSU rRNA". It matches the Rfam family "Archaeal small subunit ribosomal RNA", at positions 114 to 622 of the family's 1478-position model. The record is from RNAcentral.
CAGAGGACGUGGAUAAACUCGGGAAACUGAGGCUAAACCGCGAUAGACCAAGAUACCUGGAAUGGUUUUUGAUCAAAAUCUAUAUGGCCUUUGGAUUGGACUGCGACCGAUCAGGCUGUUGGUGAGGUAAUGGCCCACCAAACCUGUAACCGGUACGGGCUCUGAGAGGAGGAGCCCGGAGAUGGGUACUGAGAAAAGGACCCAGGCCCUAUGGGGCGCAGCAGGCGCGAAACCUCUGCAAUAGGCGAAAGCCUGACAGGGUUAUUCUGAGUGACUUUCGCUAAGAAAGUCUUUUGACAUCUCUAAAAAUGGUGUAGAAUAAGGGGUGGGCAAGUCUGGUGUCAGCCGCCGCGGUAAUACCAGCACCCCGAGUGGUCGGGACGAUUAUUGGGCCUAAAGCAUCCGUAGCCGGUUUUACAAGUCCUCCGUUAAAUCCAACUGCUUAACAGAUGGGCCGCGGAGGAUACUAUAAGACUAGGAGGCAGGAGAGGCAAGCGGUACUCAG